RNAcentral lists this ribosomal RNA (253 nucleotides) under uncultured bacterium. RNAcentral's name for it is "partial 16S ribosomal RNA". It matches the Rfam family "Bacterial small subunit ribosomal RNA", at positions 524 to 776 of the family's 1533-position model. The record is from RNAcentral.
UACGUAGGGAGCAAGCGUUGUUCGGAUUUACUGGGCGUAAAGGGCGCGUAGGCGGCGCGGUAAGUCACUUGUGAAAUCUCUGAGCUUAACUCAGAACGGCCAAGUGAUACUGCAGUGCUAGAGUGCAGAAAGGGCAAUCGGAAUUCUUGGUGUAGCGGUGAAAUGCGUAGAUAUUGGGAGGAACACCGGUGGCGAAGGCGGCCCCCUGGACCGGUACUGACGCUGAGGCGCGAAAGCGUGGGUAGCAAACGGG